This 73-nucleotide transfer RNA is filed under the name Cylindrotheca closterium. Its description in RNAcentral is "tRNA-Phe". It matches the Rfam family "tRNA". Rfam says of the family: Transfer RNA (tRNA) molecules are approximately 80 nucleotides in length. Their secondary structure includes four short double-helical elements and three loops (D, anti-codon, and T loops). Further hydrogen bonds mediate the characteristic L-shaped molecular structure. tRNAs have two regions of fundamental functional importance: the anti-codon, which is responsible for specific mRNA codon recognition, and the 3' end, to which the tRNAs corresponding amino acid is attached (by aminoacyl-tRNA synthetases). tRNAs cope with the degeneracy of the genetic code in two manners: having more than one tRNA (with a specific anti-codon) for a particular amino acid; and 'wobble' base-pairing, i.e. permitting non-standard base-pairing at the 3rd anti-codon position. Lineage: Eukaryota; Bacillariophyta; Bacillariophyceae; Bacillariales; Bacillariaceae. The record is from RNAcentral. RNAcentral also lists the same sequence under 2 other names.
GUUCGAAUAGCUCAGUAGGUAGAGCAAAGGACUGAAAAUCCUUGUGUCGGCAGUUCGAGUCUGCCUUCGAACA